AGCGAACGCUGGCGGCAGGCUUAACACAUGCAAGUCGAGCGGGCAUCCUUGUGGUGUCAGCGGCAGACGGUUGCGGAACGCGUGGGAACGUGCCCUUCGGUUCGUAAUAACUCAGCGAAACUUGAUCUAAUACCGGAUACGUACUACAGCAGAAAGGUUUAUCUGCCGAAGGAUCGGCCCGCGUCUGAUUAGCUAGUUGGCGAGGUUAUGGCUCACCACGGCGACGAUCAGUAGCUGGUCUGAGAGGAUGAUCAGCCACACUGGGACUGAGACACGGCCGAGACUCCUACGGGAGGGAGCAGUGGGGAAUAGUGGAAAAUGGGGGCAACCAUGAUCCAGCCAUGCCGCGUGAGUGAUGACGGCCUUAGGGUUGUAAAGCUCUUUUCUCCGGGACGGUAAUGACGGUACCGGAGGAAUAAGCCCCGGCUAACUUCGUG
RNAcentral lists this ribosomal RNA (437 nucleotides) under uncultured bacterium. RNAcentral's name for it is "partial 16S ribosomal RNA". It matches the Rfam family "Bacterial small subunit ribosomal RNA", at positions 29 to 507 of the family's 1533-position model. The record is from RNAcentral.